UCAUUUGUACCUUCAAGCUCUGCUUGGUGUUGGGUGUUUGUCCCGCCUUUGUGCGCGGACUCGCCUUAAAGCAAUUGGCAGCCGGCGUAUAGAUUUCGGAGCGCAGCACAAUCCGCGCUUUGUACUCAUUACGACGACAUCCAUCAAGACAUUUUUUAACUCUUGACCUCGGAUCAGGUAGGGAUACCCGCUGAACUUAA
This 200-nucleotide unclassified non-coding RNA is filed under the name soil metagenome. Its description in RNAcentral is "partial contains internal transcribed spacer 2 and large subunit ribosomal RNA". The record is from RNAcentral.